UCCGUAGGUGAACCUGCGGAAGGAUCAUUACCGUUGGAGUUCGCUCCAAUCUGGGGUAGAACCCUUGCCUUUGAGUACCUUCUCGUUUCCUCGGUGGGCUCGCCCGCCGGUGGACAACCAUAAACUCUCUGUAAUAGCAGUAUCUUCUGAGAAAAACAAAUAGUCAAAACUUUCAACAACGGAUCUCUUGGUUCUGGCAUCGAUGAAGAACGCAGCGAAAUGCGAUAAGUAGUGUGAAUUGCAGAAUCCAGUGAAUCAUCGAAUCUUUGAACGCACAUUGCGCCCUUCGGUAUUCCGUUGGGCAUGCCUGUUCGAGCGUCAUUUAAACAUUCAAGCUCAGCUUGGUGUUGGGUGCUUGUCCUCCCCCGCGGUGGACUCACCUCAAAUGCAUUGGCGGCCGGUAUGUUGGCUUCGAGCGCAGUAGAAACGCGCCAGACGUCCUGACAUGCUGGUCCCCCACAAGACCUUCUUUUAUCUUGACCUCGGAUCAGGUAGGGAUACCCGCUGAACUUAAGCAUAUCAAUAAGCGGAGGAAAAGAAACCAACAGGGAUUGCCCUAGUAACGGCGAGUGAAGCGGCAACAGCUCAAAUUUGAAAUCUGGCCCUUUCAGGGUCCGAGUUGUAAUUUGUAGAGGGCGCUUUGGUGUUGGCUGCGGUCUAAGUUCCUUGGAACAGGACGUCACAGAGGGUGAGAAUCCCGUACGUGGUCGACAGUCUUCACCGUGUAAAGCCCCCUCGACGAGUCGAGUUGUUUGGGAAUGCAGCUCUAAAUGGGAGGUAAAUUUCUUCUAAAGCUAAAUAUUGGCCAGAGACCGAUAGCGCACAAGUAGAGUGAUCGAAAGAUGAAAAGCACUUUGGAAAGAGAGUCAAAAAGCACGUGAAAUUGUUGAAAGGGAAACGCUUGAAGU
Molecule: ribosomal RNA, 908 nt
Filed under: uncultured fungus
Lineage: Eukaryota; Fungi
Description: eukaryotic LSU rRNA
Rfam family: Eukaryotic large subunit ribosomal RNA (bases 478-908)
Source: RNAcentral